Molecule: ribosomal RNA, 1441 nt
Filed under: Escherichia coli
Lineage: Bacteria; Pseudomonadati; Pseudomonadota; Gammaproteobacteria; Enterobacterales; Enterobacteriaceae
Description: partial 23S ribosomal RNA
Rfam family: Bacterial large subunit ribosomal RNA
Source: RNAcentral
UUUAAGCGUGUAGGCUGGUUUUCCAGGCAAAUCCGGAAAAUCAAGGCUGAGGCGUGAUGACGAGGCACUACGGUGCUGAAGCGACAAAUGCCCUGCUUCCAGGAAAAGCCUCUAAGCAUCAGGUAACAUCAAAUCGUACCCCAAACCGACACAGGUGGUCAGGUAGAGAAUACCAAGGCGCUUGAGAGAACUCGGGUGAAGGAACUAGGCAAAAUGGUGCCGUAACUUCGGGAGAAGGCACGCUGAUAUGUAGGUGAAGCGACUUGCUCGUGGAGCUGAAAUCAGUCGAAGAUACCAGCUGGCUGCAACUGUUUAUUAAAAACACAGCACUGUGCAAACACGAAAGUGGACGUAUACGGUGUGACGCCUGCCCGGUGCCGGAAGGUUAAUUGAUGGGGUUAGCGGUAACGCGAAGCUCUUGAUCGAAGCCCCGGUAAACGGCGGCCGUAACUAUAACGGUCCUAAGGUAGCGAAAUUCCUUGUCGGGUAAGUUCCGACCUGCACGAAUGGCGUAAUGAUGGCCAGGCUGUCUCCACCCGAGACUCAGUGAAAUUGAACUCGCUGUGAAGAUGCAGUGUACCCGCGGCAAGACGGAAAGACCCCGUGAACCUUUACUAUAGCUUGACACUGAACAUUGAGCCUUGAUGUGUAGGAUAGGUGGGAGGCUUUGAAGUGUGGACGCCAGUCUGCAUGGAGCCGACCUUGAAAUACCACCCUUUAAUGUUUGAUGUUCUAACGUGGGCCCCUUACCGGGGUUGCGGACAGUGUCUGGUGGGUAGUUUGACUGGGGCGGUCUCCUCCUAAAGAGUAACGGAGGAGCACGAAGGUUGGCUAAUCCUGGUCGGACAUCAGGAGGUUAGUGCAAUGGCAUAAGCCAGCUUGACUGCGAGCGUGACGGCGCGAGCAGGUGCGAAAGCAGGUCAUAGUGAUCCGGUGGUUCUGAAUGGAAGGGCCAUCGCUCAACGGAUAAAAGGUACUCCGGGGAUAACAGGCUGAUACCGCCCAAGAGUUCAUAUCGACGGCGGUGUUUGGCACCUCGAUGUCGGCUCAUCACAUCCUGGGGCUGAAGUAGGUCCCAAGGGUAUGGCUGUUCGCCAUUUAAAGUGGUACGCGAGCUGGGUUUAGAACGUCGUGAGACAGUUCGGUCCCUAUCUGCCGUGGGCGCUGGAGAACUGAGGGGGGCUGCUCCUAGUACGAGAGGACCGGAGUGGACGCAUCACUGGUGUUCGGGUUGUCAUGCCAAUGGCACUGCCCGGUAGCUAAAUGCGGAAGAGAUAAGUGCUGAAAGCAUCUAAGCACGAAACUUGCCCCGAGAUGAGUUCUCCCUGACUCCUUGAGAGUCCUGAAGGAACGUUGAAGACGACGACGUUGAUAGGCCGGGUGUGUAAGCGCAGCGAUGCGUUGAGCUAACCGGUACUAAUGAACCGUGAGGCUUAACCUU